GGAUUUGAAAGUAAAUAGGCUUUGACAUCUGUCACCCACUGAUCAGUGGGACUAAUUCAGGUGAUGUGGCUGGCUAGGCAGAUGUCCCUUUCGCCCUUCCCACUCCAUGCACAUCCUGCAUGAAGCUGUGCACUUGACUGAAGAGAAUGGUGGCCUUCCCCAAAGAGAGGAGAAACAGUCUGUCUUAAAUGAUUCAUAGCAUCUGUUUUUAAAACUAAUAAAGCAUAAACCAGUAUCAUGAGCUACUUUCUUGAUGAAGAAAUUGUAGGAUAGU
Mus spicilegus (steppe mouse) is the source of this 274-nucleotide unclassified non-coding RNA. Its record names the gene 7SK. It matches the Rfam family "7SK RNA". Rfam says of the family: 7SK was discovered as an abundant small nuclear RNA in the mid-70s but a possible function has only recently been suggested. Two independent studies have found that 7SK RNA binds the CDK9/cyclin T complex (known as elongation factor P-TEFb). The record is from Ensembl. NCBI's taxonomy places the organism in Eukaryota, Metazoa, Chordata, Mammalia, Rodentia, Muridae.